CACAUGGGCCCGCGGGCCGGGCGGGCUCGGGGCGGCCUGGCUCCGGACGGGCAGCGAGGGGCCUGGCUCGGGGGCCGGCCCGCGCGCCCCCCGGCCCCCCCGAGCGGAUUUCCACGCCGAGAGGAUGUUGGCAGCCCCGGCGACCUGCCGAGACGCGGCGGGAUCCACCUUCCAGCCUGAUCUUUGGUCCAGAAAGGAAUUACAAAGAUGCCCCUCGUGACGGCUGUGCCUGUCGGUCGUGUGGGCCUUCAUUCGAGGAUUUUCUGAGCCUCAUGGAUUUACAGUGACGUCCAGCUGCCUGGGGAAUAAUGACGGUGGAAGCAUUCUCUGGAAUUACCUGCACCCAGCACCUGUCUGGAUGCUAAUGGCGGUUUUAAGGAUGGCCGUGGCCGAGAGCCGGGUGGAUCCCUGCAGCCUGGAUGCCCCUGGGGGACAGAGGACCACCGCUUCCUGUGACGGCCGAGAGCUCUGUCCUUAUCUCCACAUGAAUGUUCGGUUGGGUCUCUGCCAGCCCCACCGGGGCCUCCCCGUGACACAGAAGGCCUCCUCCUCGUGCACACAUGCUCCGCCUGUUCCGUCCGGUGUUCACCUGGGCUUUAGGUGACACUGGCCCGGCCGGCAGGAGAGAAGUCGCUGUGAUGGAGCCGCUUCUCAAGGGGAGCUGGUGUUCAGUGGCUCCCUCCGCGUGUCUGUCUGGGUGCUGGGCAUGGAGGGCGACAGAGGGAGAUAGCAAGGAGCGUCCCAGGAGCCACUGCUGUUCCCUGUGCAGAUGUCAUCAUGCCUGUGUCCUACCUCGCCUGAUUUCCUGGUUCGUGUGCCUGUCUCCGCCCACCAGACCACAAGGGCCUCGAAGGCCGAGGCUUCUUCCUCGUGAAGUGUGUUUUGAAGACCUAGCACCCUGCCUGGCACAGAGUGUCUCUGGCUGCAGAAAGGGCACUCAGGGAUGCAGACACCGAGGGUAAAUAGGGACAGAAGGCACGGCUCGGUGCUUAGAGUGAGAAACACGCUGCUGAAUGUUUGCCGACGCGCGUGCACCCAGGAGGCCUGGGUUUGCCUCUCUGAGCCGUCCCUGCUGUGUGGCCGGGGCCGAGGGGCUGCUGCGUGCCCUUCCCUUCUCCGCUAAGUGGAGGUGACGUGUGCUACCGUCUUUCGCCUGGGUCGUGUUGAGGAUCACACAGCAGAGGCUCGCGAUGACCCCCAGCACGGUGCCCGGCACACGGCAAAGGCUCAGCACAUGAGCUACCGCCUAUGACGUGGGACUUCCUUAGCCUUUGGAGGCACUCAGGAGUCUGAAAAGCUGCAGGAAGAGGCAGGGCGCAGAUCUUCACUCCCGUUCUGUGGCUGAGACAACUGAGGCUCCCACAGGCCACGCCAGCUUCUUGGGGCCACAUACCUGGACCCCCACACCCAGCGGGGAGACCCCCCACCCCCCAGGCUGUGGACAGCAGCUCCUGGAAGGCUGAUCGGAGGGUGGGUCACCUGACGGACUCUCCAGUAAUGAGUGUUUGUUUCUGGAGUCUCCUGGGCUGUUCCCCCCAGGCUGAUGGCUUUGAGAGUAGGGGCUGUGGACCUUGGGGCGCCAAGACACUGGGGCCCCUUGAGCAGUUGACCUUGGAGCACGCAUCCGGCGACUCCAGUCUUUGAACGAACUGCCUGAGAUUCAGCGCCUCCAGCUGCACCUUUUCCCCGCCACUGACUUGCUGUAAUCCUGUCAUACCUGGGAUUUUGGUGCCUUCAACCCAAAAAUAACUACACAUCCAUUCAGUACCCUAGAGGGACUCAAAGACUGUCCUUCCCUGAACUAAAGCCAGACCAUUUGGGGAUUUGGAGAAUAAGGAUUUGUCAACCCCGCAGCACUGGUCGUAGCAGGUGCCUGGGGGAAGAAAAUGCCCACCAGGGGAUGGACGUAAGCCGGCCUGCAGGCUUCUCUUCACCCUCCUGCCAAGAUGAAACCUUGAUUAAAACUAGAGAAUUGACCUGUUCCGGCCUCGACAGCGUUCAGCUUCAAGGACUCCUACGGCCAUUUUUCUGCUGCUGCAGAGCUGAGGCCCCCUGGCUUCCUGCCUGUGGGAAAUCAGAUGGACUAAGGAAGAGCUUCACACGAAUAAGAAUAAGAGGGAAAAAAAUAAUUUAAGUGUCACACUCUCUCUUGCCUCUUCCCUGCUGGACCGGGAGGGAACUGAGACCGUAACUGGCCUGUGGGGGAGGGGUAUGUGAAGGGUCCCAGGAGGGAGUGGGAGAUGAUGCUUCCUCUUGGUGGUGGAGUAUCUGCAGAAACUACUUGGAAUCCUUCUCCAGAGGAGAUUUGUCUCCCAGCCCCUGGGUCUAUGUCUGUGUGUCUAUGCCUCUGUGUGUGUUUGUGUGUGUACACAUCAAUAUGGCACCAUGCUGAUAUUUAUUAUACUUAUUAUAUGCUUUGGAUUAUGGUCCACUAUGACUUCA
Molecule: RNA transcript, 2442 nt
Organism: Hyaena hyaena (striped hyena)
Lineage: Eukaryota; Metazoa; Chordata; Mammalia; Carnivora; Hyaenidae
Exons: 7
Source: RefSeq, a predicted model, not a curated record